GAUCGAACGCAUGAAUCUACGU
This 22-nucleotide microRNA is filed under the name Polistes canadensis. RNAcentral describes it as "pca-miR-6039-5p". Lineage: Eukaryota; Metazoa; Arthropoda; Insecta; Hymenoptera; Vespidae. The record is from miRBase by way of RNAcentral.